AUGAAUUGUGCUUUUUUUUAACCAAAUAACAGUGAGAUGAUGCUGAAUCCUGGCUGACACAGUUGGAGUGAGGUGAUGCUGGCCUGGGUGACAGACAGGGGGAGAGAGAGAGACAGAACCUGGGCCGGAGCAGGAAGCUGCCGCUGCUGGGACUGUGGACACUGUGGGACACAGGAGCCACGGAACUACGUCGAGGGAUUCAACAUAAUGUAGACCCAGUCGUGUGCAACAUUCAGCGGAAAACAGGGGCAGCUGCGGAAGGCUGUUGCGAGCCCGGAUAAUUCUGCUUAAUUUGAGUUCGUUUGAUAGAGGAAAAUGAAGGAGCUGAAGGGCUGCGGUAUGCGCUCCUCGGUGGGCUUUCUGUCCCGCAGAGAGCUCAUGGGGCAGCCGCUCAUGAAGGAAGAAUUCCAGAGGCGCAGGUUUUCCGGCUGCACGAGCCUCUUCAAGAAGGACAUGCUCGGACACUUCGGCUGCGUCAACGCCAUUGAGUUCUCAAACAACGGCGGAGAAUGGCUGGUGUCUGGAGGAGACGACCGCCGUGUUCUCCUCUGGCACAUGGAAAAAGCCAUUCAUGCUCGCUCCAAACCUGUGAAGCUGAAGGGUGAGCAUCUGUCCAACAUCUUCUGCCUGGCCUUCGACAGCACCAACAAGAAGGUCUUCUCUGGAGGAAACGAUGAGCAGGUGAUUCUCCAUGAUGUUGAGAGGAGGGAAACUCUGAACGUGUUCCUGCACAUCGACGCUGUCUACAGUUUAUCUGUCAGCCCUGUGAACGACAACGUGUUCGCCAGCUCAUCUGACGAUGGACGAGUUCUCAUCUGGGACACUCGUGAGCCGCUGCAUGGAGAGCCUUUCUGCCUGGCCAGUUACCCCUCAGCCUUUCACAGUGUGAUGUUCAACCCCGUGGAGCCCCGCCUGCUGGCCACAGCCAACUCCAAAGAGGGAGUGGGAUUAUGGGAUAUCCGGAAACCCCGCAGUUCGCUGCUACGUUAUGGAGGAAACAUGUCCCUUCAGAGCGCCAUGAGUGUUCGCUUCAACAGUACCGGAACUCAGCUGCUGGCUCUGCGUCGGCGUCUGCCGCCCGUCCUCUACGAGCUACACUCGCGUCUUCCCAGCUUCCAGUUUGACAACCAGGGCUACUUCAACUCCUGCACCAUGAAGAGCUGCUGCUUCGCUGGAGACAAAGAUCAGUACAUCUUGUCUGGAUCAGACGAUUUCAACCUCUACAUGUGGAAAAUCCCCAAGGAUCCAGAAGCAGGGGGCCCCGGUCGUGUGGUAAACGGGGCUUUCAUGGUGCUGAAAGGUCACCGCUCCAUAGUGAACCAGGUUCGAUUCAACCCUCACACCUACAUGAUCUGCUCCUCAGGGGUGGAGAAAGUCAUCAAGAUGUGGAGUCCGUACCAGCAGCCUGAGAGUCUUGGCGACCUGGAGGGCCGAGUGGAGGACAAGUCCCGCAGCCUCUACACUCAUGAGGAGUACAUCAGCCUGGUGCUGAACAGUGGCAGCGGCCUGUCCCAUGACUACGUCAGCCAGUCUAUACAGGAAGACCCUCGUAUGAUGGCUUUCUUUGACUCCCUGGUGCGCAGAGAGAUCGAGGGCUGGAGCUCCGACUCUGACAGCGACCUGAGUGAGGAGGCCAUCAUGCAGCUUCACGCGCGGGGACGUCGAUCCACCCGGCCCGUAGCCACAGCACCUCCAGCUGCUUCAGCGUCUGUGAACCACAGUGACUCUGAGAGCUCUUCUUCGUCCUGCUCUUUGGCUCCGCCCGAAGCCUCAGGAGGGGAGGAUCAGUCCAGAGCAGAAGGCGGAACUGAAGUGGAACGACCCAGGAGACGUAGCAGGUUCCCGUGGAAUCAGUCUGGGUUCCUCCUGAACGAAGACUCCGACUCCAGCGAGUUUUGGUUGGACCCCAUGCCCCGGCCUCGAUCCCCGAGUCCUAGGGACAACUCCACCAUUUCUAGCCCCGCCUCUUCUCCUUCACUUCCUGUCGGAGCCUCCAGCUCUUCCACGUCCACUUCUAGUUCCAGCAGCGACGAUGAAGAGAGACGCAGCGCCGUCAGGCGGCGCAACGUCGUUAGGCGUCACCGUAUGAAUGUCGUGUCCAGAGCGGGAGACCGACCUGAGCCUGUGCAGGCUCUGUUUUCAGCAGUAGACUCCUGCAGUUACCCGUCGAUCGCAAUCACCGACCCCUCUUCUUCCUCGUCAGGAGACGAACGAAAGCCUCAAAGUAGCAACAACAAGGAGGAGCAGGAGGAGGACAUCGAUACUUGUCUGAGUCCUUCUGAGUUUGUGUGUUUGAGCCCAGACCUGUCCCCUGAGAGUCAGGACAAUGAGGAAGGAUUUGACAGAACUGAGGUGAGGAGACGUUCAACUGCGUCUCCUCGGUCGUUGGACGGACACAGGACUGGAGGAGGAGCUGCUCCAGAGCCGGCUUUGGACAGUUCUGACGGAGGAGAGGAGUGUAACGCCCCGGCAGCUGCAGACUGUAACUCCCAGAAUGGACGCAGCCCCGGAGUGAAUGGGCAGCACAGGACUGUGGCAUCACACGGGAGCGAGAACCGCAGCAUCUCCUCGGACUCUGAGGCAGAGACUGGAGACGGGCCUGAAGACCGGAGGUCAUGGAGAGAAAAGCGCUCAGCACAGAACGCUCUAAAACGGACUCACGUUGGAUCAGAAGAAGCCGAAGCAGGCUGCUCGCCUUCAGAGAAGAAGAUAAAAACAUAACGACACUCGUUUCACCUCACUGAGGAAGUGGGUUUCUGAGGGAUUUUACAACUGGGGUCUUUCAUUGUGUGACAAUGCAACGCUGUUGAGUAAGAGAUGUUCAACAAAGGAAAAGUUCAGAACAGUAUCGUCAUCGUCCUUUAGGUCAAACCACAGGUGACUUUAAAAUAUCAAAGAAAGAGCGAAAUGUCAUUGAUAACAAUGGUAUUUUAAUUGAAAUGCAUUUAUUUUUAUGCAGAGUCAGUGUUAAUUUUUUUUUUCUCAGCCAUGUUUCAUUGAAAAAAACAAAAUGUCCAUUCAGGAUUCUAAAGCUUCUCCCAAACAGUUACUAAAAAAAAAGUCUUAUUAAAGAAAGAAGCAUUUUUGAUUUCUACACUUUCACACUGAGCUUUAGUCUGAACAGCCUUAGUUUAUUUUGAGAAGAUUCUUCUUCAGGUGCCCCCUGUGUUUUAUGGGUUCCAUAAAAAAUUUAAAGAGGAAAUCCAACAACUUCAAGCACAGAGUGUUUGUGUUUGAUUCCUGUGAAGUAGGAGUCGUCCUUCUGUUUGUAGUUGUGGCCAGGUUGUUACAGAGCUAAACACUGAGGGCAAACUGUAAGAUUCUGCUUUUUCACAUGGAUCACAAAACAUUACAUUGUCAGGUAUUAAGAAAAGUCUGCAAAGACGGACAGGACCAUCUCUGGUUGCUGUCCAGAUCAUAGUUAUUGGAGGUGUAGCUGUUUAGCAGCAGCCAACAAGUGGGAAGAGGUGUAGGAUGGCCAGACAUCAGAGUAAUUCUUAGCUUCUCCAACCGCACUGUCAGCAGAAAA
RNA transcript from Cynoglossus semilaevis (tongue sole), 3529 nucleotides. It is a transcript of the gene named ddb1 and cul4 associated factor 5, with no coding region annotated. The record is from RefSeq and is a predicted model, not a curated record. The transcript has 10 exons. NCBI's taxonomy places the organism in Eukaryota, Metazoa, Chordata, Actinopteri, Pleuronectiformes, Cynoglossidae.